GAUGAACGCUGGCGGCGUGCCUAAUACAUGCAAGUCGAGCGAACAGAUGAGGAGCUUGCUCCUCUGACGUUAGCGGCGGACGGGUGAGUAACACGUGGAUAACCUACCUAUAAGACUGGGAUAACUUCGGGAAACCGGAGCUAAUACCGGAUAAUAUAUUGAACCGCAUGGUUCAAUAGUGAAAGACGGUUUUGCUGUCACUUAUAGAUGGAUCCGCGCCGCAUUAGCUAGUUGGUAAGGUAACGGCUUACCAAGGCAACGAUGCGUAGCUGACCUGAGAGGGUGAUCAGCCACACUGGAACUGAGACACGGUCCAGACUCCUACGGGAGGCAGCAGUAGGGAAUAUUCCGCAAUGGGCGAAAGCUUGACGGAGCAACGCCGCGUGAGUGAUGAAGGUCUUCGGAUCGUAAAACUCUGUUAUUAGGGAAGAACAAAUGUGUAAGUAACUAUGCACGUCUUGACGGUACCUAAUCAGAAAGCCACGGCUAACUACGUG
RNAcentral lists this ribosomal RNA (497 nucleotides) under uncultured bacterium. RNAcentral describes it as "partial 16S ribosomal RNA". It matches the Rfam family "Bacterial small subunit ribosomal RNA", at positions 28 to 507 of the family's 1533-position model. The record is from RNAcentral.